CUGGCAGCGGCGCCAGCGGGAAGGCAAAAAAAGCGAGACCCUUCCUAGCUCCGCCGCAAGCGGGCAGAGGCACCUUGCCCCGCCCCUAAAAAGCUGGAAGGUGGAGAGAGGUUAGCCGUGCAUCGGGAGAGACCGAAGGUGAUGCUGCGAGGCUCCUCGUCUCAGUUUACCACACAAAGGUCUUUUUUCGUUUCGGAAUUGCACGCUAUGUUAUAGAAUAAUGGCCAAGGUGAUCACAAUGCUUCAAACCCUCAGAAAUCAUUGGAAGAAGACUACAGUUGGGAUCUGCCUGGUUACAUGGGGAGGAAACUGGCUUUAUGGAAAACAUUGUGAUAACCUGCUAAGGAGAGCUGCAUGCCAAGAAGCCCAGGUAUGGGGCAACCAAAUUAUUCCUUCCAAUAUGCAGAUAAGGAAAGCAACAGUAUUUCUCAACCCUGCAGCUUGUAAAGGCAAAGCCAGGACUCUUUUUGAAAAGAAUGCAGCCCCAAUUCUCCACUUAUCUGGUCUGGAUGUGACUGUGGUGAAGACAGAUUAUGAAGGGCAAGCAAAGAAGUUGUUGGAACUGAUGGAAAACACCGACAUGAUCAUCAUUGCAGGGGGAGAUGGAACAGUGCAAGAGGUUAUAACUGGGCUUCUCCGAAGAGCAGAUGAGGCAUCUUUCAGUAAAAUUCCCAUUGGAUUCAUUCCUCUUGGAAAGACCAGCACUUUAAGUCACACACUUUAUACUAAGAACGAUAACCAAGUCCAGUGUAUCAUUGAUGCCACGUUGUCCAUACUGAGAGGAGAGACAGUUCAACUUGAUGUAUUGCAGAUUAAGGGGAACAAAGAACAGCCAGUAUUUGCUGUCAAUGGCUUACGGUGGGGCUCUUACAGAGAUGCAGGAGCAAAAGUCAGCAAAUACUGGUAUCUUGGACCUCUGAAAAUCCAGGCAGCCCAUUUUUUUAACACAUUGAAGGAAUGGCCUCAGAAACAUCUAGCUUCCCUUACCUAUUUGGGCCCUAUUCCAAGGCCACCUGAGGAGCCAGAGCAGAAGAUAUCUCGACCUCCUUUAUACAUUAGGCUUUAUAAGAGGCUUGCAUAUUAUUGGACACCCACCCCCAAAGAAAUCCCAAAGGAAGAGACUCCAGAGGCCUGGAAUGAAAUUCCACUGUCUGCCCUUGAAUUCUCUGUCACUACUCAAAACAGGAAUCUCGACCUGAAACGUGAAGAAGACUUCAUGAAUAUUUGUAUUGAAUCGGAUGCAAUCAGUAGGGGAGACUACGUAAAAAAAGGAAGCCAAAAGAUGAAGGAUCCCCACUUGUGUCCUGAAGGAAGUCAAUGUCUUCAGGCUAGCAAGUGUGUUUUGCAGCUUCCAGAGGAUACAGAAGGCUCUUUAGCUAUAGACAAUGAAGAGCAUGAAGCAAUGACAGUGGAGGUGAAGCUGUUGCCCAGGAAACUCCAUUUCUUCUGCGAUGCCAGGAGAAAAGUAGAAAUGCUUCAAGGUAUAUCAUAAUCAAAGCAGCUGGUUCAAGGUGUAUUGUAAUCAAAGGGUUGCCUUGGAUGACUGCGCAAACUGUUUAACGAACUGCAUCUGAAGACUGCACAGCUUUCCUUCAGUUACGAUGAAAGCCUUCCUUUUUCAAACUAUGUAAGUCAGAAAUUGAGGAAGAAGAACUGAGGUGGAAACAUUUCGUUUUUCUUUUCAUCUGGUUCCAGUUAUUUCACAAAAAUACCUCUGUGGCAACUGUUCCCAAAUACCUCUGUGGCAACUGUUUUCCAGUUAAAACACUUUUGGUAUAAACUUCCAUUUGUACACCUAGUACAUAUGUACUUCAGAUCAUUGAAUAUGCUCCUCCUUUCCCUCAUAUUGCUUCCUUUCCCAUUUAAUAGUUGAGAUAUGGGCAGCCCAUCGGUGUUAUGCUUAUGUUUAGAAAAGUGAUUAAAAAUUAGAGAGAUGUCUCAGAGGAAAGUAUUUAAAAUGUAAUCACUAAUAACAGAUCAGUGAACCAUUAGACCAGAAUCCUGCAGCUUGACUGGCAGCCUGCCUCUGGCACAUAUUAUUCUACUCUUAUUCUACAAAAGGAAGGAUGCGAAAAAGACCAAAUUUGGAACUUCUUGCAUGCAAAUGACCCAUAAUGAACAUUGGAUUACCUGAAUGUUCCUUUUCUUCUGUGGCGUAGAGAGUCCAGAUAGAUUGGGACAUACCAAAGCCGGCCUGUCCCAGGGAGAGCAAGAGUCUAGUCCUACUCACAUUAGCGCUUGUGCUUCUUCUGCCAAAAGCAGCAUCAGCUGAUGCAAAGGCAUCCAGGCAGUAAUGCCGAAUGAAAGGAGACUGUGAAAACCAUGUGGCCGUUCUGCAGAUCUCUUCAAUGGGCGCAUGAGUAGCCCAUGCCGCCGUAGUUGCUGCACUUCUGGUUGAGUGAGCCAUCACUCCACGAGGCUCCGGAAGAGCCCUGCUCAGAUAAGCCUUGGCAAUGUAGGCCCGAAUCCAUCUGCCCACAGUCUUUGGAGACACCUUUAACCUUAACUUGCUGGGUUGUAAGGACACAAACAGUGCCUCCGACUUGCGGAUAGGAUGUGUCCGCUGGAUGUAAAUCCUUAAGGCUCUGCGUACAUCCGGAGUAUGCCACACCCUCUCCAAAUUAUAGGAAGGAUUUGGACAAAUAUUAGGGAGAACGAGGCUCCUGAGCCCUGUGGAAUCUAGAAUUAAUUUUUGGGAUGAAAGUUGGGUCUAACUGUAACACUACUCUUAUCAGGAUGGAAAAUACACAAAUCCUCCCUAACUGAAAGGGCAGCGAUCUCUGAUAUCCUCCUAGCCCAUGUGAUGCUACAAGAAAAGCAACCUUGAGUGAUAGAUGGUGUAAAUUAAUGGAUCUAAGUGGUUCAAAUGGCUCAGUCAUUAACGCCUUAAGAUCUCUUUGGGGAGAUCCCAAGUAGGGAAUCUAUGAACCACCA
Molecule: non-coding RNA, 2934 nt
Organism: Notechis scutatus (mainland tiger snake)
Lineage: Eukaryota; Metazoa; Chordata; Lepidosauria; Squamata; Elapidae
Source: RefSeq, a predicted model, not a curated record